This is a long non-coding RNA of Esox lucius (northern pike), 332 nucleotides long. The record is from Ensembl. NCBI's taxonomy places the organism in Eukaryota, Metazoa, Chordata, Actinopteri, Esociformes, Esocidae.
GGUGUCAGGGUCUGUGUACCUAUAGUUAAGGUAGAGGUUGUCAGGGUCUUUGUAUCUAUAGUUAAGGUAGAGGUUGUCAGGGUCUGUGUACCUAUAGUUAAGGUAAAGGUUGUCAGGGUCUAUGUACCUAUGGUUAAGGUAGAGGUUGUCAGGGUCUGUGUACCUAUAGUUAAGGUAAAGGUUGUCAGGGUCUGUGUACCUAUAGUUAAGGUAAAGGUUGUCAGGGUCUGUGUAGCUAUAGUUAAGGUAGAGGUUGUCAGGGUCUGUGUACCUAUAGUUAAGGUAGAGGUUGUCAGGGUCUGUGUACCUAUAGUUAAGGUAGAGGUUGUCAG